This 253-nucleotide ribosomal RNA is filed under the name uncultured bacterium. Its description in RNAcentral is "partial 16S ribosomal RNA". It matches the Rfam family "Bacterial small subunit ribosomal RNA", at positions 524 to 776 of the family's 1533-position model. The record is from RNAcentral.
UACAGAGGGGGCAAGCGUUAUUCGGAAUUAUUGGGCGUAAAGGGCGCGUAGGCGGUGUUUUAAGUCGGAUGUGUAAUCCCCGGGCUCAACCUGGGAACUGCAUCCGAUACUGGGACGCUGGAGUGCUGGAGAGGGUGGUGGAAUUCCUCGUGUAGCGGUGAAAUGCGUAGAGAUGAGGAGGAACACCAGUGGCGAAGGCGGCCACCUGGACAGUAACUGACGCUGAGGCGCGAAAGUGUGGGGAGCAAACAGG